RNAcentral lists this ribosomal RNA (667 nucleotides) under Salmonella enterica subsp. enterica serovar Enteritidis. RNAcentral's name for it is "partial 23S ribosomal RNA". It matches the Rfam family "Bacterial large subunit ribosomal RNA", at positions 583 to 1252 of the family's 2925-position model. The record is from RNAcentral. Lineage: Bacteria; Pseudomonadati; Pseudomonadota; Gammaproteobacteria; Enterobacterales; Enterobacteriaceae.
CUUUGGGUGUGACUGCGUACCUUUUGUAUAAUGGGUCAGCGACUUAUAUUCUGUAGCAAGGUUAACCGAAUAGGGGAGCCGGAGGGAAACCGAGUCUUAACCGGGCGUUAAGUUGCAGGGUAUAGACCCGAAACCCGGUGAUCUAGCCAUGGGCAGGUUGAAGGUUGGGUAACACUAACUGGAGGACCGAACCGACUAAUGUUGAAAAAUUAGCGGAUGACCUGUGGCUGGGGGUGAAAGGCCAAUCAAACCGGGAGAUAGCUGGUUCUCCCCGAAAGCUAUUUAGGUAGCGCCUCGUGAAUUCAUCUCCGGGGGUAGAGCACUGUUUCGGCUAGGGGGCCAUCCCGGCUUACCAACCCGAUGCAAACUGCGAAUACCGGAGAAUGUUAUCACGGGAGACACACGGCGGGUGCUAACGUCCGUCGUGAAGAGGGAAACAACCCAGACCGCCAGCUAAGGUCCCAAAGUCAUGGUUAAGUGGGAAACGAUGUGGGAAGGCCCAGACAGCCAGGAUGUUGGCUUAGAAGCAGCCAUCAUUUAAAGAAAGCGUAAUAGCUCACUGGUCGAGUCGGCCUGCGCGGAAGAUGUAACGGGGCUAAACCAUGCACCGAAGCUGCGGCAGCGACACUGUGUGUUGUUGGGUAGGGGAGCGUUCUGUAAGCCUGUG